UACGAAGGGGGCUAGCGUUGUUCGGAUUUACUGGGCGUAAAGCGCACGUAGGCGGGCUAAUAAGUCAGGGGUGAAAUCCCGGGGCUCAACCCCGGAACUGCCUUUGAUACUGUUAGUCUUGAGUAUGGUAGAGGUGAGUGGAAUUCCGAGUGUAGAGGUGAAAUUCGUAGAUAUUCGGAGGAACACCAGUGGCGAAGGCGGCUCACUGGACCAUUACUGACGCUGAGGUGCGAAAGCGUGGGGAGCAAACAGGAUUAGAAACCCGAGUAGUCC
RNAcentral lists this ribosomal RNA (273 nucleotides) under uncultured Ochrobactrum sp. Its description in RNAcentral is "partial 16S ribosomal RNA". It matches the Rfam family "Bacterial small subunit ribosomal RNA", at positions 524 to 796 of the family's 1533-position model. Lineage: Bacteria; Pseudomonadati; Pseudomonadota; Alphaproteobacteria; Hyphomicrobiales; Brucellaceae. The record is from RNAcentral.